UACCUAGCAACAGUAAUAUAGUCCACCA
RNAcentral lists this unclassified non-coding RNA (28 nucleotides) under Mus musculus (house mouse). RNAcentral describes it as "oocyte_clustered_small_RNA8266". Lineage: Eukaryota; Metazoa; Chordata; Mammalia; Rodentia; Muridae. The record is from RNAcentral.